AUUGAACGCUGGCGGCAGGCCUAACACAUGCAAGUCGAGCGGAUGAGAAGAGCUUGCUCUUCGAUUCAGCGGCGGACGGGUGAGUAAUGCCUAGGAAUCUGGCCUGGUAGUGGGGGACAACGUUUCGAAAGGAACGCUAAUACCGCAUACGUCCUACGGGAGAAAGCAGGGGACCUUCGGGCCUUGCGCUAUCAGAUGAGCCUAGGUCGGAUUAGCUAGUUGGUGAGGUAAUGGCUCACCAAGGCGACGAUCCGUAACUGGUCUGAGAGGAUGAUCAGUCACACUGGAACUGAGACACGGUCCAGACUCCUACGGGAGGCAGCAGUGGGGAAUAGUUGGACAAUGGGCGAAAGCCUGAUCCAGCCAUGCCGCGUGUGUGAAGAAGGUCUUCGGAUUGUAAAGCACUUU
RNAcentral lists this ribosomal RNA (408 nucleotides) under uncultured bacterium. RNAcentral's name for it is "bacterial SSU rRNA". It matches the Rfam family "Bacterial small subunit ribosomal RNA", at positions 30 to 436 of the family's 1533-position model. The record is from RNAcentral.